This 453-nucleotide long non-coding RNA is filed under the name Homo sapiens (human). Its description in RNAcentral is "non-protein coding lnc-ZBTB1-1:1". Lineage: Eukaryota; Metazoa; Chordata; Mammalia; Primates; Hominidae. The record is from RNAcentral.
UCCCAAGCCGCGCACUGCAAGCAGUGGCGCCGGCUCACGCACCCCUCGGCCGCCUCUCGCGCGGCUUCCCGCGCCGGCAGCCCGCGAUGGCCCCACGUGACCGCGUGUCUGGUAGCAGGGGAAAGAGGGGCGCCAGGGCCGGGGUGUGCGUGCGUGCGUGCGUGCGUACGUGCGCGCCCUCCCGCCCGCCCGCCUCAGUGGCCGGGCGGGGGUCGGCCCGCGCUCUGAGUGCCGCCGCCACAGUUCGCAGUUGUGACUCUGUAGGCGGAAGCAUAGGGACAAGCCUGAGCGUCACAGGCUCCCCACAAACAACCGCGUGACCCGGGGACUUUCCCCAGGGUGUGCAAAAGCACAGGCACCCCCUCAGUUCUGGGGUGAAGUCCCUGGCAGAGCCAGAGCCUCUCCGCGCAGCCCAGCCCGAGCGCCGAGCGCCGCGCGCCGCCGCCACUGCAG